This 126-nucleotide transfer RNA is filed under the name Candidatus Caldarchaeum subterraneum. RNAcentral describes it as "Candidatus Caldiarchaeum subterraneum tRNA-Thr". The record is from RNAcentral. Lineage: Archaea; Thermoproteati; Nitrososphaerota; Candidatus Caldarchaeales; Candidatus Caldarchaeaceae.
GCCCUGGUAGCUCAGACUGGGAGAGAGGGCAAUGUCGCUACAUAGCCUCUCAAACGACCGCUUGGUAAGCGGUAGAGCCUCGCCGAAGAGGCGCCGACGUCCGGGGUUCAAAGCCCCGCCAGGGCU